RNAcentral lists this ribosomal RNA (2932 nucleotides) under Escherichia coli. RNAcentral's name for it is "23S ribosomal RNA". It matches the Rfam family "Bacterial large subunit ribosomal RNA". The record is from RNAcentral. Lineage: Bacteria; Pseudomonadati; Pseudomonadota; Gammaproteobacteria; Enterobacterales; Enterobacteriaceae.
GGGUUGUGAGGUUAAGCGACUAAGCGUACACGGUGGAUGCCCUGGCAGUCAGAGGCGAUGAAGGACGUGCUAAUCUGCGAUAAGCGUCGGUAAGGUGAUAUGAACCGUUAUAACCGGCGAUUUCCGAAUGGGGAAACCCAGUGUGAUUCGUCACACUAUCAUUAACUGAAUCCAUAGGUUAAUGAGGCGAACCGGGGGAACUGAAACAUCUAAGUACCCCGAGGAAAAGAAAUCAACCGAGAUUCCCCCAGUAGCGGCGAGCGAACGGGGAGCAGCCCAGAGCCUGAAUCAGUGUGUGUGUUAGUGGAAGCGUCUGGAAAGGCGCGCGAUACAGGGUGACAGCCCCGUACACAAAAAUGCACAUGCUGUGAGCUCGAUGAGUAGGGCGGGACACGUGGUAUCCUGUCUGAAUAUGGGGGGACCAUCCUCCAAGGCUAAAUACUCCUGACUGACCGAUAGUGAACCAGUACCGUGAGGGAAAGGCGAAAAGAACCCCGGCGAGGGGAGUGAAAAAGAACCUGAAACCGUGUACGUACAAGCAGUGGGAGCCUCUUUAUGGGGUGACUGCGUACCUUUUGUAUAAUGGGUCAGCGACUUAUAUUCUGUAGCAAGGUUAACCGAAUAGGGGAGCCGAAGGGAAACCGAGUCUUAACUGGGCGUUAAGUUGCAGGGUAUAGACCCGAAACCCGGUGAUCUAGCCAUGGGCAGGUUGAAGGUUGGGUAACACUAACUGGAGGACCGAACCGACUAAUGUUGAAAAAUUAGCGGAUGACUUGUGGCUGGGGGUGAAAGGCCAAUCAAACCGGGAGAUAGCUGGUUCUCCCCGAAAGCUAUUUAGGUAGCGCCUCGUGAAUUCAUCUCCGGGGGUAGAGCACUGUUUCGGCAAGGGGGUCAUCCCGACUUACCAACCCGAUGCAAACUGCGAAUACCGGAGAAUGUUAUCACGGGAGACACACGGCGGGUGCUAACGUCCGUCGUGAAGAGGGAAACAACCCAGACCGCCAGCUAAGGUCCCAAAGUCAUGGUUAAGUGGGAAACGAUGUGGGAAGGCCCAGACAGCCAGGAUGUUGGCUUAGAAGCAGCCAUCAUUUAAAGAAAGCGUAAUAGCUCACUGGUCGAGUCGGCCUGCGCGGAAGAUGUAACGGGGCUAAACCAUGCACCGAAGCUGCGGCAGCGACGCUUAUGCGUUGUUGGGUAGGGGAGCGUUCUGUAAGCCUGCGAAGGUGUACUGUGAGGUAUGCUGGAGGUAUCAGAAGUGCGAAUGCUGACAUAAGUAACGAUAAAGCGGGUGAAAAGCCCGCUCGCCGGAAGACCAAGGGUUCCUGUCCAACGUUAAUCGGGGCAGGGUGAGUCGACCCCUAAGGCGAGGCCGAAAGGCGUAGUCGAUGGGAAACAGGUUAAUAUUCCUGUACUUGGUGUUACUGCGAAGGGGGGACGGAGAAGGCUAUGUUGGCCGGGCGACGGUUGUCCCGGUUUAAGCGUGUAGGCUGGUUUUCCAGGCAAAUCCGGAAAAUCAAGGCUGAGGCGUGAUGACGAGGCACUACGGUGCUGAAGCGACAAAUGCCCUGCUUCCAGGAAAAGCCUCUAAGCAUCAGGUAACAACAAAUCGUACCCCAAACCGACACAGGUGGUCAGGUAGAGAAUACCAAGGCGCUUGAGAGAACUCGGGUGAAGGAACUAGGCAAAAUGGUGCCGUAACUUCGGGAGAAGGCACGCUGAUAUGUAGGUGAAGCGACUUGCUCGUGGAGCUGAAAUCAGUCGAAGAUACCAGCUGGCUGCAACUGUUUAUUAAAAACACAGCACUGUGCAAACACGAAAGUGGACGUAUACGGUGUGACGCCUGCCCGGUGCCGGAAGGUUAAUUGAUGGGGUUAGCGGUAACGCGAAGCUCUUGAUCGAAGCCCCGGUAAACGGCGGCCGUAACUAUAACGGUCCUAAGGUAGCGAAAUUCCUUGUCGGGUAAGUUCCGACCUGCACGAAUGGCGUAAUGAUGGCCAGGCUGUCUCCACCCGAGACUCAGUGAAAUUGAACUCGCUGUGAAGAUGCAGUGUACCCGCGGCAAGACGGAAAGACCCCGUGAACCUUUACUAUAGCUUGACACUGAACAUUGAGCCUUGAUGUGUAGGAUAGGUGGGAGGCUUUGAAGUGUGGACGCCAGUCUGCAUGGAGCCGACCUUGAAAUACCACCCUUUAAUGUUUGAUGUUCUAACGUUGGCCCGUAAUCCGGGUUGCGGACAGUGUCUGGUGGGUAGUUUGACUGGGGCGGUCUCCUCCUAAAGAGUAACGGAGGAGCACGAAGGUUGGCUAAUCCUGGUCGGACAUCAGGAGGUUAGUGCAAUGGCAUAAGCCAGCUUGACUGCGAGCGUGACGGCGCGAGCAGGUGCGAAAGCAGGUCAUAGUGAUCCGGUGGUUCUGAAUGGAAGGGCCAUCGCUCAACGGAUAAAAGGUACUCCGGGGAUAACAGGCUGAUACCGCCCAAGAGUUCAUAUCGACGGCGGUGUUUGGCACCUCGAUGUCGGCUCAUCACAUCCUGGGGCUGAAGUAGGUCCCAAGGGUAUGGCUGUUCGCCAUUUAAAGUGGUACGCGAGCUGGGUUUAGAACGUCGUGAGACAGUUCGGUCCCUAUCUGCCGUGGGCGCUGGAGAACUGAGGGGGGCUGCUCCUAGUACGAGAGGACCGGAGUGGACGCAUCACUGGUGUUCGGGUUGUCAUGCCAAUGGCACUGCCCGGUAGCUAAAUGCGGAAGAGAUAAGUGCUGAAAGCAUCUAAGCACGAAACUUGCCCCGAGAUGAGUUCUCCCUGACCCUUUAAGGGUCCUGAAGGAACGUUGAAGACGACGACGUUGAUAGGCCGGGUGUGUAAGCGCAGCGAUGCGUUGAGCUAACCGGUACUAAUGAACCGUGAGGCUUAACCUUACAACGCCGAAGGUGUUU